GACGAACGCUGGCGGCGUGCUUAACACAUGCAAGUCGAACGGAAAGGCCCUGCUUUUGUGGGGUGCUCGAUUGGCGAACGGGUGAGUAACACGUGAGUAACCUGCCCUUGACUUUGGGAUAACUUCAGGAAACUGGGGCUAAUACCGGAUAGGAGCUCCUGCUGCAUGGUGGGGGUUGGAAAGUUUCGGCGGUUGGGGAUGGACUCGCGGCUUAUCAGCUUGUUGGUGGGGUAGUGGCUUACCAAGGCUUUGACGGGUAGCCGGCCUGAGAGGGUGACCGGCGACAUUGGGACUGAGAUACGGCCCAGACUGCUACGGGAGGCAGCAGUGGGGAAUAUUGCACAAUGGGCGGAAGCCUGAUGCAGCAACGCCGCGUGCGGGAUGACGGCCUUCGGGUUGUAAACCGCUUUCGCAUGUGACGAAGCGUGAGUGACGGUAAUGGGUAAAGAAGCACCGGCUAACUACGUG
RNAcentral lists this ribosomal RNA (468 nucleotides) under uncultured bacterium. RNAcentral's name for it is "partial 16S ribosomal RNA". It matches the Rfam family "Bacterial small subunit ribosomal RNA", at positions 28 to 507 of the family's 1533-position model. The record is from RNAcentral.